GCCGCCGCUGGUGGCAGAAGGAAGAUGGCGGCGUCCUGAGUCUCUGACUGACGGAAGCGCAGGCGGUCGAUUCGGGAUCACGGAGCUGCAGCAGCCGCGCGUACCGGAGGCACGGAACCGAGCCGCUUCUGACAGCGCAGAUCCAGGCCCUGCCUGAAGAUGAACGUCCUCAAAGACAACAAAGACUUGGCCUGUUUCUACACAACCAAACACUCCUGGAGGGGGAAGUACAAGCGUGUUUUCUCCGUGGGAACUCAUGGCAUCACCACAUACAAUCCCACCACACUAGAAGUGACUAACCAGGUACUGCAUUUCACCUGUGUGC
Molecule: long non-coding RNA, 325 nt
Organism: Sinocyclocheilus anshuiensis
Lineage: Eukaryota; Metazoa; Chordata; Actinopteri; Cypriniformes; Cyprinidae
Exons: 3
Source: RefSeq, a predicted model, not a curated record